RNAcentral lists this ribosomal RNA (279 nucleotides) under uncultured bacterium. RNAcentral's name for it is "partial 16S ribosomal RNA". It matches the Rfam family "Bacterial small subunit ribosomal RNA", at positions 506 to 784 of the family's 1533-position model. The record is from RNAcentral.
UGCCAGCAGCCGCGGUAACACGGGGGGCGCAAGCGUUAUUCGGAAUUAUUGGGCGUAAAGGGCGCGCAGGCGGUCUUGUCAGUCAGGUGUGAAAGCCCGGGGCUCAACCCCGGACGUGCAUUUGAAACAGUAAGACUUGAGUACGGGAGAGGAAAGCGGAAUUCCUGGUGUAGAGGUGAAAUUCGUAGAUAUCAGGAGGAACACCGAUGGCGAAGGCAGCUUUCUGGACAGAUACUGACGCUGAGGUGCGAAGGUGUGGGUAGCGAACAGGAUUAGAUA